RNAcentral lists this ribosomal RNA (1719 nucleotides) under uncultured Bordetella sp. Its description in RNAcentral is "partial 16S-23S ribosomal RNA intergenic spacer". The stretch from base 1 to 1530 matches the Rfam family "Bacterial small subunit ribosomal RNA". The record is from RNAcentral. Lineage: Bacteria; Pseudomonadati; Pseudomonadota; Betaproteobacteria; Burkholderiales; Alcaligenaceae.
AGUUCGAUUAUGGCUCAGAUUGAACGCUGGCGGGAUGCUUUACACAUGCAAGUCGAACGGCAGCACGGACUUCGGUCUGGUGGCGAGUGGCGAACGGGUGAGUAAUGUAUCGGAACGUGCCUAGUAGCGGGGGAUAACUACGCGAAAGCGUAGCUAAUACCGCAUGCGCCCUUCGGGGGAAAGCGGGGGACCUUCGGGCCUCCGCACUAUUAGAGCGGCCGAUAUCGGUUAGCUAGUUGGUGGGGUAACGGCUCACCAAGGCGACGAUCCAUAGCUGGUUUGAGAGGACGACCAGCCACACUGGGACUGAGACGGCCAGACUCCUACGGGAGGCAGCAGUGGGGGAAUUUUGGACAAUGGGGAAACCCUGAUCCAGCCAUCCCGCGUGUGCGAUGAAGGCCUUCGGGUUGUAAAGCACUUUUGGCAGAGAAAAACGGCGCAGGAUAAUGCCCGUGCAACUGACGGUACCUGCAGAAUAAGCACCGGCUAACUACGUGCCAGCAGCCGCGGUAAUACGUAGGGUGCAAGCGUUAAUCAGAUUACUGGGCGUAAAGCGUGCGCAGGCGGUUCGGAAAAGAAAGAUGUGAAAUCCCAGAGCUUAACUUUGGAACUGCAUUUUUAACUACCGAGCUAGAGUGUGUCAGAGGGAGGUGGAAUUCCGCGUGUAGCAGUGAAAUGCGUAGAUAUGCGGAGACACCGAUGGCGAAGGCAGCCUCCUGGGAUAACACUGACGCUCAUGCACGAAAGCGUGGGGAGCAAACAGGAUUAGAUACCCUGGUAGUCCACGCCCUAAACGAUGUCAACUAGCUGUUGGGGCCUUCGGGCCUUGGUAGCGCAGCUAACGCGUGAAGUUGACCGCCUGGGGAAUUACGGUCGCAAGAUUAAAACUCAAAGGAAUUGACGGGGACCCGCACAAGCGGUGGAUGAUGUGGAUUAAUUCGAUGCAACGCGAAAAACCUUACCUACCCUUGACAUGUCUGGAAUCCCGAAGAGAUUUGGGGCAACAAGAGAACCGGAACACAGGUGCUGCAUAGCUGUCGUCAGCUCGUGUCGUGAGAUGUUGGGUUAAGUCCCGCAACGAGCGCAACCCUUGUCAUUAGUUGCUACGAAGGGCACUCUAAUGAGACUGCCGGUGACAAACCGGAGGAAGGUGGGGAUGACGUCAAGUCCUCAUGGCCCUUAUGGGUAGGGCUUCACACAUCAUGCAAUGGUCGGGACAGAGGGUCGCCAACCCGCGAGGGGAGCCAAUCCCAGAAACCCGAUCGUAGUCCGGAUCGCAGUCUGCAACUCGACUGCGUGAAGUCCGGAAUCGCUGGUAAUCGCGGAUCAGCAUGUCGCGGUGAAUACGUUCCCGGGUCUUGUACACACCGCCCGUCACACCAUGGGAGUGGGUUUUACCAGAAGUAGUUAGCCUAACCGUAAGGGCGAUUACCAUUAGGAUUCAUGACUGGGGUGAAGUCAUCGCUGAGUAGCUCUGUUACGACUUCACCCCAAAUCAUAGUCCUACCGUACGGUUGGGCUAACUUUAAAAAAACUCUUGGUAAAACCCCUUUUGUGGUGUGGCAGGCGGUAAUGUCCGGGAGCGUAUUCACACUGCGACAUGCUGUCCGCCUUCCGGCUUUCACACGUCAGACUGCGUGAGGAGAUCGCUAGUAAUCGCGGAUCAGCAUGUCGCGGUGAGAUACGUUCCCGGGUCUUGUACACACCGCCCGUCACACC